RNAcentral lists this transfer RNA (29 nucleotides) under Treponema sp. V1. Its description in RNAcentral is "partial tRNA-Ile". Lineage: Bacteria; Pseudomonadati; Spirochaetota; Spirochaetia; Treponematales; Treponemataceae. RNAcentral also lists the same sequence under 2 other names. The record is from RNAcentral.
GGGCCUGUAGCUCAGUUGGUUAGAGCACU